UCUAGCGGCGGACGGGUGAGUAACGCGUGAGCAACCUGCCUUUAUCAGGGGGAUAACGCAUCGAAAGAUGUGCUAAUACCGCGUAAGACCACAGCCUCACAUGGGGCAGAGGUCAAAGGAGCAAUCCGGAUAAAGAUGGGCUCGCGUCCGAUUAGCUAGUUGGUGAGAUAACAGCCCACCAAGGCGACGAUCGGUAGCCGACCUGAGAGGGUGAUCGGCCACAUUGGAACUGAGAGACGGUCCAGACUCC
Molecule: ribosomal RNA, 250 nt
Filed under: uncultured Eubacteriales bacterium
Lineage: Bacteria; Bacillati; Bacillota; Clostridia; Eubacteriales
Description: uncultured Clostridiales bacterium partial 16S ribosomal RNA
Rfam family: Bacterial small subunit ribosomal RNA
Source: RNAcentral